This 478-nucleotide ribosomal RNA is filed under the name Acrobeloides sp. 2 MK-2017. Its description in RNAcentral is "SSU rRNA". It matches the Rfam family "Eukaryotic small subunit ribosomal RNA", at positions 551 to 1036 of the family's 1831-position model. The record is from RNAcentral. Lineage: Eukaryota; Metazoa; Nematoda; Chromadorea; Rhabditida; Cephalobidae.
GAGGGCAAGUCUGGUGCCAGCAGCCGCGGUAAUUCCAGCUCUCAAAGUGCAUAGAAUUAUUGCUGCGGUUAAAAAGCUCGUAGUUGGAUCUGUGCCAUAGGACGUGGUCCACCUUCGGGUGCGUACUACGCUCCUAGGCUUUUUGCUGGUUUUCCCGUCGUAGCCUUCACUGGUUGCGGCGGGUGGCUGGCGAGUUUACUUUGAGAAAAUCAGAGUGCUCAAUACAGGCGUAUCGCUUGAAUGAUUGUGCAUGGAAUAAUAGAAAAGGAUUUCGGUCCUCUUUUAUUGGUUUUGUGGACUGAGAUAAUGGUUAACAGGGACAAACGGGGGCAUUCGUAUCUCUGCGUGAGAGGUGAAAUUCUUGGACCGUAGAGAGACGCCCUACUGCGAAAGCAUUUGCCAAGAAUGUCUUCAUUAAUCAAGAACGAAAGUCAGAGGUUCGAAGGCGAUCAGAUACCGCCCUAGUUCUGACCGUAAA